GGGCUCGUGGUUUAGUGGUAUAAUACUCCCUUAGCAUCAUAUGACUGCCGAUGAGCUCAACAAUGUUGGGCGCAGGUAGUCUAGCUUGGGAGUGGUCCGGGGUUCGAUUCCCCGCGAGUCCA
Molecule: non-coding RNA, 122 nt
Organism: Hypoxylon fuscum
Lineage: Eukaryota; Fungi; Ascomycota; Sordariomycetes; Xylariales; Hypoxylaceae
Source: the annotation of a GenBank genome assembly